Molecule: ribosomal RNA, 253 nt
Filed under: uncultured bacterium
Lineage: Bacteria
Description: partial 16S ribosomal RNA
Rfam family: Bacterial small subunit ribosomal RNA
Source: RNAcentral
UACGUAGGGUGCGAGCGUUGUCCGGAAUUAUUGGGCGUAAAGGGCUCGUAGGCGGUUUGUCGCGUCGGGAGUGAAAUCCACUGGCUUAACUGGUGGCUUGCUUUCGAUACGGGCAGACUGGAGGUAUGCAGGGGAGAACGGAAUUCCUGGUGUAGCGGUGAAAUGCGCAGAUAUCAGGAAGAACACCCGUGGCGAAGGCGGCUUUCUGGGACGGUACUGACGCUGAGACGCGAAAGCGUGGGGAGCGAACAGG